AAAUCUACCCACCUCCUCAGACCUCACUCCACUCACCGUUGCCAAAAGCUCCCACCCACCUCUCAUGGGCAGGGUUCAUGUCACGGCAGCCGGCCGCCCGCCCGCCCGCGUUCGGCGGCGCGCAUGCAGCAUACACCGCCCCAGGCCCGAUCGAUGGAGGGGAGGGGAGCGCCCGCGAGAACCCUAAAAAGCCUCCGCUCAACCUCUAUGCUGGAUGGGAUCAGCUGGACGGAGGCCUGGAGCGUCCAGCACUCCAGCCUGCCACACGCCUGGGCUGGGGCCCACCUCCCCGCUAUAAAGCGGAGCCGCCGGGUUACCGUUGAAGUCUGAGGAGACCUGAUCCACAAGCACCGCCGCCGUGUGCCAGAGAUGAGAUGCCAUGGAAGAGCAAGAAGACGCAUGGAAUUGUGACGCCAAGGAGAGCGAGGCACAGGAGCACGGUGACACGGUCGGCCGGCAGAUCUGCAGUGGCUGCCGCCGUCUCCGCACGAUAUCUCGAUCGGAUACUGUUGAGAUAGCUAGCCGGCCGCCGUUCCAUUCAUGGUGCUUGUACUCGUCCGAUCGAAUUCCUGGCCGCACACGCCAUUUCUUUGACUUUUGUGCUGCCGCUCGAUCGGUCUAAUAAAUUAAGGGGCUCGGGCGAUAUGCA
Long non-coding RNA from Zea mays, 649 nucleotides. RefSeq lists it as uncharacterized. The record is from RefSeq and is marked validated. Lineage: Eukaryota; Viridiplantae; Streptophyta; Magnoliopsida; Poales; Poaceae. The transcript is spliced from 3 exons.